UCCCUGCGGCACACGAGCCGGUCCGUGAUGGAGCAGCUCCAAUGCCCAGGUUCCACUGAUGAGCUUAUCCCCACUUUUCGUUAUUCUGGUGCUGUGGGUCUUUCCCUUGCAGACCGUUCAGCUCUCAUUUUCCGACCCUGCAGCGCCUGCCCACAUGGGCCGGAGGAGCCCUGGACGUUCCGGUCUCUGCCCGUAGUGCCCUUCCGAGCGGUGCCCCGACCACCCUCUGUGCAGUCAGUGGUCAGUCCGGGCACACCCGUCGACUCUGCUGCUUGAGUUCCUUCCCAGCACGUGGCAGACGUGAAUUUGACCGUCAUGGACUUGGUUGUAUCAAAAUAGUCGUGUUAUUUCUCUACGACACAAUUCUGCAUGGCUCACAGCCCCCGUUUCCACUAGAGAGCGACACUGUGACAACCUGAGCAUUUUGACCUGGAGAUGGAACUGACUCAGGAAACAGAAGGAGUGCCAGGAAGAACUGAGGACCCCCUGGAGGCCAUGCCCAUGGGUGUGUGGUUCAUCAGCUCUGUGUGCCUGUGGAGUCCCUUUAGCAGCACUCAAGCCCUGGUGGGCUGGAUCCUGGGCUGGGCUCUUGCCAGGAAGCUGCGAUGCAGGAAUAUGAGACCUGAACCUUCCUUUCCCACUGUGGAGGGGUUACAGUUUGAAGGAAGCAAUUCACUUAUCCAUCUAAUUUCCAGAAGAUCUUGAUUGUGAAGUGCUGUUUGUAGAUACCAUCAGAGAUGACCAGCGAAAUAUGUUCUCUGUGGAUUCCAUCCCCAGUCGUGGCUGCUUAAGAUAAUAGACAACUGAAUUAUAGAAAUGAAAGGCGGGAAAAGGCAGGAGUCUACAGGCUGCCCAUGAAAAUUUGCAGAGGAGAAUUUAUGAAUUUGAGUUAUACAGACAGGAGCAGACUGUCUUGCAUAGAGGAAACAACAA
Non-coding RNA from Delphinapterus leucas (beluga whale), 933 nucleotides. The record is from RefSeq and is a predicted model, not a curated record. NCBI's taxonomy places the organism in Eukaryota, Metazoa, Chordata, Mammalia, Artiodactyla, Monodontidae.